RNAcentral lists this long non-coding RNA (759 nucleotides) under Callithrix jacchus (white-tufted-ear marmoset). Its description in RNAcentral is "lncRNA (ENSCJAG00000072997.1)". Lineage: Eukaryota; Metazoa; Chordata; Mammalia; Primates; Cebidae. The record is from RNAcentral.
CUUUCAUUGCUUAAUAUGUUAUGAAUUUAUUAUUUCUAAUAAAAAAACAAAUAGACUGAAUUGUUAACCAAGCUACCACAUGCUUAAAUGAGUAUAUUUAGCAUCAAAUAUUUUGAGUUUAAAGUAUAUAUACAGUAUAUACCAUUUUAUUAUUAACUUAAAAUCUGUGGUAUAAUACUGUUAAUUUUCUUCAGAGAUGAUAAUAUUAAAGUUCAAAGUAAACAUCCCCAAUUUAUGCAACUGGCAAGUGGAAAAUCAGAAUUUAAACUCAGAUUUCUUUAAGCCUGACAACAGGCUGUAAACUAUGCACUAUGUAACUUUCAUCUAACAAACACAUGUGUGGGCAGGAACUCAAAUCAUAAUGGAAUGUGUUUCUAAUAGGAACUUUAAACUGAUUUCAUUUUCACAACUACCUUUCCAGGAGCUAUUUCCAUCACCAACAUGAGGAAUGCAAGUGUGUAAGAUAUUAAAGAACUUGUCCACAUGAGCUAAUAGAAGAAACAUAUAAUAGACAUGGGUCUUCUAGCUACAAGAAGCAGUCAUUCUGGCCAAGGAAGGGUGUCCAGGGUCUGGAAUAGGACAGAGUACACUGGGCUAAAACUGUCAAAAAGCAUUCAGUGCUGCUUCUCAAUCUCGAGACACGGACCACAGACCAACCCGGAGGUCACUGAUCUCUCCAUGUUGGAAAUCUACGUAUAUUUGUGAUUGAAUAACCUUUAGGUAACUUCUAUCUUUGAUCUAUAUUUACUCUAACAAUGC